CCUACGAGUGGCAGCAGUGGGGAAUAUUGGACAAUGGGGGAAACCCUGAUCCAGCGACGCCGCGUGAGUGAAGAAGUAUUUCGGUACGUAAAGCUCUAUCAGCAGGAAAGAAAAUGACGGUACCUGACUAAGAAGCACCGGCUAACUACGUGCCAGCAGCCGCGGUAAUACGUAGGGGGCAAGCGUUAUCCGGAUUUACUGGGUGUAAAGGGAGCGUAGACGGCAGUGCAAGUCUGGAGUGAAAUGCCGGGGCCCAACCCCGGAACUGCUCUGGAAACUGUGAAGCUGGAGUGCAGGAGAGGUAAGCGGAAUUCCUGGUGUAGCGGUGAAAUGCGUAGAUAUCAGGAGGAACACCAAUAGCGUAGGCAGGUUGCUGGGACGGUUCUGACACUAAGGCACGAAAGCGUAGGGAGCAAACGGGAUUAGAUACCCCAGUAGUC
RNAcentral lists this ribosomal RNA (440 nucleotides) under uncultured bacterium. RNAcentral's name for it is "partial 16S ribosomal RNA". It matches the Rfam family "Bacterial small subunit ribosomal RNA", at positions 338 to 795 of the family's 1533-position model. The record is from RNAcentral.